UUUUCGUCAAUUAAGAAAUUCCUGCAUGAGGCAACAGGAGGAGCAGGAUCCAAGCUUUCUUUAAGAGAGCAUGGAAGGCCAUAAAAAAACCUUUCUGCUGUUGCAGGCGAACAAGAGUGGAGUCUAAUACUCCACAACAGCCUGAUCGGGAGCCAGAGCCAGAGCCUGAGCCUGUGCCGGGUCCCUCUGGGCUCCAGAAUGUGCCUGACACCAACCCGGCUGUUCCCGAGCCGACAUCUGUCCAAGAUCUUCACAACUGUGAACCAACAAAAGAUGAUCGAAGGGAGACGAAGCCAAUGACGAACACCACAACCACACACCACAACUCACAGGACACCACGAGGAAGACGAACGAUGGGAAUCUGGAGGAGAACGAAGAGCUGACAAGGAGAGCACAGGUAAGUUCACAACAGGUAAGUAUAACAGGGAAUAUGCUGAGAAUAGCGAGUCCACUUCGAAUAGUCAAGCUUGGACAGUGAAUGCAGAGUGGUGUGUGCUUUUAUGUGGUGCUUGAUUGAUGAGAUGAUAGCUGUCAGGUGCUGGUGAUCAGAACUCGGGUGAUUGUGAGCGUUGUGUUGUAGUGAGGGUGGAGCCUGGCGCGGAUGUAACAGUGUCAGGUAAAGUGAUCACAACAGAUAUUUUUUCUAAGAUGUUCAGUGAUCAAAAGGAUAUCUAUUCCAACCAUUUAUGGUAUACACCUGUGAGCGCAGCUGGGUCUACUGGUGUUGUGAACUUUGCCAAAAAGUUUAGUAGGUCAUAGGAUGUGCAUUGAACUUUUUUUACAACACACAGCUGGAUUUGCAUGGCAUCUGGUGAGAUUUGUGGGUAAUGUUGAGGACGAAAAUAUUUUAUCUAAGAAAAACAGGAAUGUUUAUAAUAUGGAUCUGGUGAAUACGACUUCAAACUGAUGAGAUUCAGGAUGAGGUUAGAUAGAGAAGGUUGAGGAGAAGUCGAUAACAACAAACUUAAAUAGAGAUGAAGGUGAUUGUUUUAACAAACCAGUGUAUGCUGUUGGAAAAUUCUAGUUUAAUUUUAGUGAAUUUUGUACGAUUAGUUACAUUUGUUAUUUCUUUAUAUUCACUCUUCAAUUUUCAAUCCUCAACACAAGUACAGACGUGCACACUUAGUUAAAAUAUCUGGAGGCUGAAAAAAAAAAAAAAUGAUUUUCAACCGUAAGACUUGUGGGUGGUAAUUAUUAUCUGAAACGCACACACGUACUUAGUUAAAGCAUGAGUGUAAAUUGAUAUUCAAUCUUUGAUUUUUCGGGGUCUUAAAAGCCCACCACCUGUGUUCAAACAUACAUAGAUACAUACUUAUCUAACCGAGAUCAAAGUGUGUCUGCAACAUCAGGGGGUCGUAAUAAAAACCAGAUACGACGGCGGUGGCGGUGGGGUACCCCUAUCAGUGUACCGUGAAAAGAUUGUAAAACAUCUAAAGGGUUUUCACUGUCUGUGUAGCCUAUAACCAUGUCUGAUAAAUUUACGUAUCAGAUUUGUACCUCUGAUUAAAUAACUUCACCCCUACCGCAGUUGUGGUGUUUUUUGAAAUACCUUUUUAGGAUCCACCCACCACACAACCGUGAUCAGUUAAAUAUUAAAAAGUUGUACAACUUCAUUACCUGCAAAGUCUAUCUUCUUGCCCCGCAACAUUGGUAUACAUCAUUAAUCGACGGAACAAUGGCUGAUAAUUACGAUGGUAAGUGUGUUUUUCAUCUGAAUUAUUUGGAUAUAUUUUAAUGUGAAUGUUUGCUUUAAUACAAUGUGGUUGUCUCUAGAUACUUUUGACAAUUUGGAAUUUGACGAUGGUUUGCUGCAGAUUCUUGACCAGAUCUGUAUGUUUUUUUCUCUUUUAUCUAUUAAGUCUUUUAAUGUAUAAAAAUAAUAAGAGGUUGUAGUUACCACGGAAUCACAACACUCGUCAGACAACGUCACAUGACCCGCCCACACCAACAAACCGGCCCUGGAGGUAGGGGUUCAGGGUCGAGUAAUACGCCAAUUCCGGACCCGGCACCGAUUUAAGGCCCUUACACCGGGGUUCGAGGUGUGAAACGGUUGAGGUAUCCGGGGUGUGAUGACACACCUAGUACCAGUCGUUUCAGGACUUUGGAGAAUAACGAACAAGACAACGAUGAAGCAGGAUUAACGGCCUAGAGUGACUUGCAAGUACAAGCGUGGGAUGAAGUGAGGUUUUUGUGAGACAGAAGAAGCAGGGGAAGAUCUACCCCAUGAAAUCUCACAGGAAGUGUUUCGUGAUUAGGAUUUAAAUAGAAGACUUGAUUAUGAUAUGCUGGGUUGUAUUAAUCGUAACUUUGAGAGGGUUCUUGACUUGGUUGGACCCCCGUUAUCCUAUCACGAAAAUAGAAGAGAUCGUGGAGGCAGCCAUAGUUGAUGUUUUAUCGAUUUUAAGAAAUAUCAUAACUUGUCAACAACAGCACAACGAGGCAUUGGGCCACGCUGCAGCCUUUUGGAGAAAUUGCCACGAGGAACUGUAUAAUGAAUUUCGUCAGUUUCAACACAAUAUGGAUGGCCUACCGGAGGAAGUUAACCAACAAAGGGGGGAAAUGAGGUUAGUGGUCAACGCCUUAAGUUUAAUGAAUGAAAGACUGUCAGUUAUGCAAAGAAUGAUAGCAGAGCUAUACAAUGAUGUUAUGAGGAAUAGAUUGUAAUGUUCUAUGUGAGAAAAGUACUGGUGGUGAUGUUUAUGUGUUUUUGCAUUUUGUUAUUGACUGAUUAUUGCUGUGUUUAAUUCUUAUAGAAAAUCAUUGUUUUAUUUGCUUUGUUAUUGACAUUGAUUCUUAUUAUUGGUUUUAUUUCUUACAGAAAUUGUCUUAUUACUCUUUAUUGAUUGUAUUUUUGAUUAUAUGGUCAUUAUGAGUGGUGGAGUGGUGUCUUUUCAUGGUGUAUACACUUGUCUUUAAGAUAGA
This is a long non-coding RNA of Labeo rohita (rohu), 2923 nucleotides long. RefSeq lists it as uncharacterized. The transcript has 3 exons. Lineage: Eukaryota; Metazoa; Chordata; Actinopteri; Cypriniformes; Cyprinidae. The record is from RefSeq and is a predicted model, not a curated record.